This 1429-nucleotide long non-coding RNA is filed under the name Arabidopsis lyrata. RNAcentral describes it as "long non-coding RNA (ALYR_LNC002960)". The record is from RNAcentral. Lineage: Eukaryota; Viridiplantae; Streptophyta; Magnoliopsida; Brassicales; Brassicaceae.
AAAAUUUUGAAUGCUAAAUCUUCAUAAUAAUAAGAAAAACAAGUUGAAUGUUUGGAAUCGCUAACGACUAAUGCUGGAUCCAAAAUCCGGUUAGUUUUCAUAUUAUUAUGCAAAUUAGUAUCCAAGAUAAAAAACUAAAACAAAUGACCUAAAACAUAAAUAUUAGGAUGGGAUAGAAAUUGGACCUGACUAAUAAUGGUUUUGAUGUUGUCCUUACUCCUCCACGACAAAUCUCUGAUCUCGCAGCAAACCACUCUUCCACCACCGUGAUCGGAAACGAAUCCCCCACUCUCUCCGUCGUCGUCGAUUGUCGAUUUUUCUUGGACAACCACCGAUAGCUUUAAUUACUUCGAACGAUUCUAAACGAAGGAGCGAGCAUCAUCUUCCGUCACUAACACUCGUAUCUGGUCUGGUUGGCGAGGAUUUUGCGAAGAGCAACAAAUCAAGCAAAUAAGUUGGAGAAUAAAUAUGAAACGAAGAGGAGAAAUCGUAAAAUCAGAGAAAAUUGGGUAAGAAAUUGCAUCUUUCUCACUCUCUAAAACUCUCUGUGUUUCUUUGGUUUUUGAUACUAAAAACGAUUACACCGAGAAAGAGAGGAAAGCUGGAGACGACUGUAUUUAUAGACUCAUCUUCGGAUUCAAAGAUUUCCCAUUUUCUUUUUUACUCUUUCUCUGUUAUUUCCUUUUUCUUUGUGUUGUUUCCUUUUUCUUAACUCUUAAUGUGUUUAUUAUUUCCUUUUUUUCACUUAGCACUGAUUGUUUUCCUUUUUUGACAAUUUGUAGAAAACUCUAUGCUUGCAAUCUCUAUCUAUUAUUAUUACAAAAAGCAAGAUCAAUGUUCUUGGUUAGGAUUUGAUUUUAUUUGGCAAAUUGCUUAAACCAUUGAUUGCUUCUGAUUAUCUAUGAGAAUGUGUGUGUAAUUGAAUGAAUUGAAUUGUUCUAAUUUGGGCAAAAAAUGUUUAAUUUUGUACUAUGAAACGUUUUCUCACAUAUAAAAUCAAGAAAACUAAUCUAAGAAAUUUCGAGGGAUAUGAGUGGAACAGGUAAUGAAACCCAAAACAAGAAAGAAAAAAAAAAAAUAGAAACAGAGGCUAAUUUAAGAACAACAAUACGGAAAAUAUUACUAAUGUGAUUAUUAAUUAUUCAUAAUCAAAGAAAUGACCAGCUAAGGUGAAAACGCAUUAAUCACUGGAGUAGCAGUGAUAGCCAUUAUUGGUCGAAAGAGCUUCCAUGUAUUGUUUCUCCAACACUUCCAUUACUCUAUCUGCUAUGGCACUUGCAUAAACACUAGAUCCUUCACAAAUCUGUUAAAAUCACAAUUACUUAUUAGUCUAAAACCUUUUUUUUUUUUUGGUCUUAUUAAGAGAUAAAUUGAAAUUUAUGACAAACCUUGGCGUUGAACAAGAAACUGUGGUGCUCUCCGAUUUGUG